UACGUAGGUGGCAAGCGUUGUCCGGAUUUACUGGGCGUAAAGAGCGCACAGGCGGUCGUUCAAGUCGCGUGUGAAAGCCCCCGGCUCAACUGGGGAGGGUCACGCGAUACUGAUCGACUCGAAGGCAGGAGAGGGAAGUGGAAUUCCCGGUGUAGUGGUGAAAUGCGUAGAUAUCGGGAGGAACACCAGUGGCGAAGGCGACUUCCUGGCCUGUUCUUGACGCUGAGGCGCGAAAGCUAGGGGAGCAAACGGG
Molecule: ribosomal RNA, 253 nt
Filed under: uncultured bacterium
Lineage: Bacteria
Description: partial 16S ribosomal RNA
Rfam family: Bacterial small subunit ribosomal RNA
Source: RNAcentral